This 274-nucleotide long non-coding RNA is filed under the name Brassica rapa (field mustard). Its description in RNAcentral is "long non-coding RNA (BRAP_LNC008366)". Lineage: Eukaryota; Viridiplantae; Streptophyta; Magnoliopsida; Brassicales; Brassicaceae. The record is from RNAcentral.
CACUUCUUUUGCUAGAUACAUGGUCUCCUUUUGCUUUUACUUUACAGCAAGAGACUCUCCUUUCCAGCCUGUCACUCGCCAGCCUCUCCUUUGUCUUCUUCUCUUAAGAGUUUCACCAGUGCCCUAUUUUUGCACCAACUUCAAAUGUGCUCAAAUGGUUGACUGGUGAACUUUCGGGAUGUCUCGGUCCGUACGGAUCCGUACGGUCCGUACAGCCAGUCCCUAAGUUUGCACACUCGCCCAAAUACUCUUCUAAGUCCCUCCUGGACUUGGC